AGUGAACGCUGGCGGUAGGCCUAACACAUGCAAGUCGAACGGCAGCACAGUAAGAGCUUGCUCUUACGGGUGGCGAGUGGCGGACGGGUGAGGAAUACAUCGGAAUCUACUUUUUCGUGGGGGAUAACGUAGGGAAACUUACGCUAAUACCGCAUACGACCUACGGGUGAAAGCAGGGGAUCUUCGGACCUUGCGCGAUUGAGUGAGCCGAUGUCGGAUUAGCUAGUUGGCGGGGUAAAGGCCCACCAAGGCGACGAUCCGUAGCUGGUCUGAGAGGAUGAUCAGCCACACUGGAACUGAGACACGGUCCAGACUCCUACGGGAGGCAGCAGUGGGGAAUAUUGGACAAUGGGCGCAAGCCUGAUCCAGCCAUACCGCGUGGGUGAAGAAGGCCUUCGGGUUGUAAAGCCCUUUUGUUGGGAAAGAAAGGCAGCAGGUUAAUACCCCGCUGUUCUGACGGUACCCAAAGAAUAAGCACCGGCUAACUUCGUG
Molecule: ribosomal RNA, 492 nt
Filed under: uncultured bacterium
Lineage: Bacteria
Description: partial 16S ribosomal RNA
Rfam family: Bacterial small subunit ribosomal RNA
Source: RNAcentral